UACGAAGGGGGCUAGCGUUGCUCGGAAUCACUGGGCGUAAAGCGCACGUAGGCGGAUCUUUAAGUCAGGGGUGAAAUCCCAAGGCUCAACCUUGGAACUGCCUUUGAUACUGGGGAUCUCGAGUCCGGAAGAGGUUGGUGGAACUGCGAGUGUAGAGGUGAAAUUCGUAGAUAUUCGCAAGAACACCAGUGGCGAAGGCGGCUUACUGGUCCGGUUCUGACGCUGAGGCGCGAAAGCGUGGGGAGCAAACAGG
This 253-nucleotide ribosomal RNA is filed under the name uncultured bacterium. RNAcentral's name for it is "partial 16S ribosomal RNA". It matches the Rfam family "Bacterial small subunit ribosomal RNA", at positions 524 to 776 of the family's 1533-position model. The record is from RNAcentral.